Long non-coding RNA from Lagopus leucura (white-tailed ptarmigan), 480 nucleotides. RefSeq lists it as uncharacterized. The transcript has 4 exons. The record is from RefSeq and is a predicted model, not a curated record. Lineage: Eukaryota; Metazoa; Chordata; Aves; Galliformes; Phasianidae.
CGCCUCCGGCUCGUUUUGCUCCGCGCGGCGUUCCUGCCGCUCUGCCCCCAGCCUGCAGCGAUGCCUGGGGUUGUUGUGAGCGAAGUGCGGGACCGGCGAGUGGCGGUGUUGAGCCUCGUGCCGUUGGCGUCGGCCGUCGAUCAGCCUGUGCGGACCGCUCUGCAGGGUCUUCGUAUCCUUAGGCAGAUAACAGCAGGAUGCAGGAGCUGAGGGGCGAUGGGAGGGAGGGGAGCGUCCUGCGUGGGAUGGCCCCGCGACCUGCCAUGUGCCUAUGGAAAUGGUGAGAGCGACUUCUGAGGCUGUGAGCGGUGGCUGAUGAGAGAAGCUGAAGAGAGGAGCCUCCGAAUUGAACUGACUGAUAUGGAACGAAAGGGCAUUUGAUUGCAAAUGGAUCAAGAGCGGAGGCCUUCAUCCUGUGCCUGCUUGGCUUCCUGACCUGUUGUGGUAGCUGCAGGCACGAAGCACUAAGAGGAGCACAGG